GUGUUUAUUAUCAAUUUAAUAAUUAGACAUGGCAUUCGAAGGGGUUUAUCAAAGGAUAAAUUAAACAUAAGCCCGAGGUAGGUAGGUGGAAGCAACUUCCCAAUUCCCCCCCCAAGGGACCUACAAAUGGUGCACAAUGUGAGAAGGUGGUAAAAGGGGUUUUCAAGGAGUGCACAUGCCUGCGAGAGGCCAGCAGCAUCCUCGAGCAUUCUUUAAUGAUCCUUCCGCAGGUUCACCUACGGAAA
RNAcentral lists this unclassified non-coding RNA (245 nucleotides) under uncultured fungus. Its description in RNAcentral is "sequence contains ITS1". The record is from RNAcentral. Lineage: Eukaryota; Fungi.